Molecule: long non-coding RNA, 696 nt
Organism: Megalobrama amblycephala (Wuchang bream)
Lineage: Eukaryota; Metazoa; Chordata; Actinopteri; Cypriniformes; Xenocyprididae
Exons: 3
Source: RefSeq, a predicted model, not a curated record
GUAUCAGCAGCAUUAAAACGCCAAACUCAAAGUGGCAAUGGCAGACGUUUGGUUAGGGAGAGGACACAAAUUUGUAUUUUAUAUAUUUGAAAACAAAUCUGGGAUUUUGUCCGCAUCUAAACCAGUGGAUAAACGUAGAAUCUACAGCAUCUUGACCAGCAGAUGUCACCAGUGUGUAGCUCUCCAACAAUGAUCCAAUCAAUUCCAGAGGACCAAGUCCAGUCCCGCCCUACAUUUUUUCCUCAUUCCAGAAGCCAUUUCACUCGGAUGUCACAAUGGGUAAGAAAAGACUAUUGCAACUUCUGUUUUAUGUCUUUAAAACACAUAGAUAAACAUUAAAUCCCAUUACACUACAAGUGUGCAUGGGGCUCCCUGGAGCUGAGCGUGUGGCUGCCUGUGCCUGGCUCAGAUGUUUGACAACAUGACACCUGAUAACAUUCUCCACAACGUGUGCAGUUUGUUUUAAGUAGGCAACAAAUUCUGCAGAUGACAGUUCAGUGACAGACUCAUAAUGUCACUUUACAACCCAUAAACAAACAAAACAGACGUUGUGAUAAAGUGCAGGAAUCAAAGAAAACAAACAACAGGGACGUGUGGACAGACAUUGACUGUAAUGAUGGACAUCUGCUCAGGCACAGAUCUCAAUCCAAUCGAGCAUCUGUGGGACGUUCUGAACAAACAUGUCUGAUCCAUGGA